Molecule: ribosomal RNA, 507 nt
Filed under: uncultured bacterium
Lineage: Bacteria
Description: bacterial SSU rRNA
Rfam family: Bacterial small subunit ribosomal RNA
Source: RNAcentral
AGAAGGCCUUCGGGUUGGUUAAAGACUCUUUCUAGUUGAAAAGAAAAAGACCGUGACUAAUAAUCAUGGUUCAUGACGGUAUCAACAGAAGAAGCACCGGCUAACUACGUGCCAGCAGCCGCGGUAAUACGUAGGGUGCAAGCGUUAAUCGGAAUUACUGGGCGUAAGGGUGCGCAGGCGGUUCUGUAAGUCAGAUGUGAAAUCCCCGGGCUUAACCUGGGAACUGCGUUUGAAACUGCAGAGCUAGAGUGCGGCAGAGGGGAGGUGGAAUUCCAUGUGUAGCAGUGAAAUGCGUAGAGAUAUGGAAGAACAUCGAUGGCGAAGGCAACCUCCUGGGCUAGCACUGACGCUCAUGCACGAAAGCGUGGGGGAGCAAAACAGGAUUAGAUACCCUGGUAGUCCACGCCCUAAACCUAUGUCAACUAGUUGUCGGGCCUUAAUAGGCUUGGUAACGUAGCUAACGCGUGAAGUUGACCGCCUGGGGAGUACGGUCGCAAGAUUAAAACU